CUUGGUCAGGACGAACGCUGGCGGCGUGCCUAAUACAUGCAAGUCGAACGGUCUUUCUAUGGAAGCUUGCUUCCACUGAGAAGAUAGUGGCGAACGGGUGAGUAACACGUGGGUAACCUGCCCAUAAGAGGGGGAUAACAUCCGGAAACGGGUGCUAAUACCGCAUAGUUUUCUUGAUCGCAUGAUUGAGAAAGGAAAGACGGCCUUUGUGCUGUCGCUUAUGGAUGGACCCGCGGCGUAUUAGUUAGUUGGUGAGGUAGCGGCUCACCAAGACGAUGAUACGUAGCCGACCUGAGAGGGUGAUCGGCCACAUUGGGACUGAGACACGGCCCAAACUCCUACGGGAGGCAGCAGUAGGGAAUCUUCCGCAAUGGACGAAAGUCUGACGGAGCAACGCCGCGUGAGUGAAGAAAGGUUUUCGGAUCGUAAAACUCUGUUGUCAGAGAAGAACAAGUUGGAGAGUAACUGCUCCAGCCUUGACGGUAUCUGACCAGAAAGCCACGGCUAACUACGUGCCAGCAGCGGC
Molecule: ribosomal RNA, 526 nt
Filed under: uncultured bacterium
Lineage: Bacteria
Description: bacterial SSU rRNA
Rfam family: Bacterial small subunit ribosomal RNA
Source: RNAcentral